GAUGAACGCUGACAGAAUGCUUAACACAUGCAAGUCAACUUGAAUUUGGGUUUUUAACUUCGGUUUGGGUGGCGGACGGGUGAGUAACGCGUAAAGAACUUGCCUCACAGCUAGGGACAACAUUUGGAAACGAAUGCUAAUACCUAAUAUUAUGAUAAUAGGGCAUCCUAUAAUUAUGAAAGCUAUAAGCGCUGUGAGAGAGCUUUGCGUACCAUUAGCUAGUUGGAGAGGUAACGGCUCACCAAGGCGAUGAUGGGUAGCCGGCCUGAGAGGGUGAUCGGCCACAAGGGGACUGAGACACGGCCCUUACUCCUACGGGAGGCAGCAGUGGGUAAUAUUGGACAAUGGACCGAGAGUCUGAUCCAGCAGUUCUGUGUGCACGAUGAAGUUUUUCGGAAUGUAAAGUGCUUUCAGUUGGGAAGAAACAAAUGACGGUACCAACAGAAGAAGUGACGGCUAAAUACGUG
This 467-nucleotide ribosomal RNA is filed under the name uncultured bacterium. RNAcentral describes it as "partial 16S ribosomal RNA". It matches the Rfam family "Bacterial small subunit ribosomal RNA", at positions 28 to 507 of the family's 1533-position model. The record is from RNAcentral.